UGGUUCCAUGGUCUAGUUGGUUAUGACGCCUGCCUGUCACGCAGGAGAUCACCGGUUCGAGUCCGGUUGGGACCGU
RNAcentral lists this transfer RNA (76 nucleotides) under Lapidilactobacillus concavus. RNAcentral describes it as "tRNA-Asp". It matches the Rfam family "tRNA". Rfam says of the family: Transfer RNA (tRNA) molecules are approximately 80 nucleotides in length. The record is from RNAcentral. Lineage: Bacteria; Bacillati; Bacillota; Bacilli; Lactobacillales; Lactobacillaceae.